AUGGAGUAUCUGAUGCAGCCAAUCGGAAGAUCCGCUCUGCUAGAAGAAGUAGGAGAGAGCUUGGUGCCGGCCCCUGCGCCUGCGAAUGUCGGUAUGGUGGUGGAGCAAGAGGUGGCGGAGCAGCAACGGCCGGUGGGUAGCGCGGACGCGCAGAUUAUGGUGGCGAAGGAAGCGGCGGCGGACAGGAGGGAGAGCUCGCCUCCGACGUCAGAGCUCUCAAUUGGGAAGAUAAUCCCCGGGCGUCCGGAUGGAACAAGAGAUGAGGAUUGGUGUUGCAACACUGAGCAGAACCCCUCGCCCAAAUCUCAUCAGUGCAUUGAGAAGGCUGUUAGGUGUUAUGCUGACAACCCAGGUGAAAAUGUCAUCAUACCAGUUCUUGGGACUUCUUUUGACUCUUUCGGCAAGGCAUACAACUUGUACAAUCUGUACUCAUGUGAGAAGGGCUUUGACAUCCGAUAUGGAAAGAGCCGGCUUAAUGUCGAGAGGACGAAAUGCAUGCAGGAAUAG
This 507-nucleotide ribosomal RNA is filed under the name Triticum aestivum (bread wheat). Its description in RNAcentral is "partial small subunit ribosomal RNA". Lineage: Eukaryota; Viridiplantae; Streptophyta; Magnoliopsida; Poales; Poaceae. The record is from RNAcentral.